Monopterus albus (swamp eel) is the source of this 698-nucleotide long non-coding RNA. RefSeq lists it as uncharacterized. The record is from RefSeq and is a predicted model, not a curated record. The transcript is spliced from 2 exons. Lineage: Eukaryota; Metazoa; Chordata; Actinopteri; Synbranchiformes; Synbranchidae.
ACGAGCUGCACCCCAAGGGGACCCAGGGGAUUUCCAGUUCAAAGAAUACCCUCACAAGAGAAUAAGGGUCAUCCAAGCAGAGGUGGGCAAAUUCUGGAACAAGUGGUGCCAAUUGGCAAGACCAAAUCUGUUUGUCAGGAGCAAGUGGCACACCAGGGAAUGAAAUGUUGCUGUGGGAGAUAUCAUCUGGCUCGCUGAUCAGAAUGCUUUGAGGGGUCAGUACAAACUUGCCAGGGUGGUCAGUGUCAAUCCUGAUGAGAAGGGCGUUGUGAGAGACAUGCAUGUCCAGACUUUCCCAAGCUACCCUGUCUCAGCGUUGAAACCUGCUUGGAAGGAGACCCAAGGAAAGGCAUGAAAACUACCAAAAACACUACUAAGAUUCCUGCAACAAUCCUCCAUAGAGAUGUCAGGCGGCUCAUCGUCCUGAUUCCUGUGGAAGAGCAAUAAAUGGGUGUGAUCUCCUUGGGUUAAAUAACCAGGAGCUCAAGUGGGAAUGUUUGCUUGACUCCAGUUGGAAUAAGGAGGGGACACUUCACCGGUGUGGCAAUCAUAGGGAUGUCACUGGUUAUCAACCUGUUUGCUUCUGCUGAAGAAAGUUCAAUAAAAGAAACAAAAGUAGAAGAAAUUGAGUUAUUCCUGCAUCCCCUGUGAUUAGCUUAUGCCUUUUUCAAGUUUGGGCAGCGUUUGAAGUAAAAAAA